CACUGACCACUACGACAGGUCGUCCAAGGGCCCACUGCCGGUUAGAUGGUUGGCACCAGAAAGUUUGAUCGACAGAACACACAGCACCAAAUCUGACGUCUGGGCCUACGGCAUUCUUCUGUGGGAGAUUGUUACGCUAGGUGCCAGUCCUUACCCCGGGUUGUCUGCCCAUGAUGUCUUCAAGUUUGUUAGCGCUGGCAACCCUAACCCACCCACUCACAACCCCACAAACUCAACUCCAACAAUCUUACACAAAAUCCCACCCACCACGCAAUCCCGCACAACUCAACUCCCACACAAAAUCCCACCCCACACAAUUCCAUACACAAACCCACCCCCACAAUCCCACACAACUCACCCCCAUACAUAAUCCCACCCAUUCAUAAUCCCACACAAACUCCCACCCCCAUACAA
Long non-coding RNA from Physella acuta, 414 nucleotides. RefSeq lists it as uncharacterized. NCBI's taxonomy places the organism in Eukaryota, Metazoa, Mollusca, Gastropoda, Physidae. The record is from RefSeq and is a predicted model, not a curated record.